RNAcentral lists this non-coding RNA (848 nucleotides) under Corchorus olitorius. RNAcentral's name for it is "Bacterial large subunit ribosomal RNA". It matches the Rfam family "Bacterial large subunit ribosomal RNA", at positions 1 to 865 of the family's 2925-position model. Lineage: Eukaryota; Viridiplantae; Streptophyta; Magnoliopsida; Malvales; Malvaceae. The record is from Rfam by way of RNAcentral.
GAAGAAGUUAUUAAGGGCGUGCGGGGAAUGCCUAGGCUCUCGGAGGCGAAGAAGGACGUGAUAAGCUGCGAUAAGGUUCGGGGAUCUGCACAUUAGAGUUGAUCCGAACAUUUCCGAAUGGGACAACCCACUUGAUUGAAGAUCAAGUAUCCUUAAUUGGAGGCCAACCUGGUGAACUGAAACAUCUAAGUAACCAGAGGAAAAGAAAACAAAAGUGAUUCCGCAAGUAGUGGCGAGCGAACGCGGAACAGCCCAAACCAGUUCCGUUACGGCGGGAUUGGGGUUGUAGGACUGCUUUUUAGAAGCUGAUUGAAGUCGAAUGACCUGGGAAGGUCGGCCAUAGCAGGUGAUAGCCCUGUAGACGUAAAGGUCAGUAACGUAGCAGGAUCCUGAGUAGGUGGGGACCGGUGAAAUCCCCUCUGAAUCCGGCGGCACCAUCCGCCAAGGCUAAAUACUCCCGAGAGACCGAUAGUGAACGAGUACCGUGAGGGAAAGGUGAAAAGUACCCCGAACAGGGGGGUGAAAAGACCCUGAAACCGCACGCUUACAAGCGGUCGGAGCUCUGUAAUGGAGUGACGGCGUGCCUUUUGCAUAAUGACCCUACGAGUUGCGGUUACUGGCCAGGUUAAGUAUUGAAGAUACGGAGCCGAAGCGAAAGCGAGUCUGAAUAGGGCGAAAAUAGUCAGUGGCUGCAGACGCGAAACUUUGUGAUCUACCCAUGACCAGGUUGAAGUGUCGGUAACACGACAUGGAGGACCGAACCAGUUGACGUUGAAAAGUCUUUGGAUGAGUUGUGGGUAGGGGUGAAAGGCCAAUCAAACUGAGAGAUAGCUCGUACUCCCCGAAAU